This 274-nucleotide ribosomal RNA is filed under the name uncultured bacterium. RNAcentral describes it as "partial 16S ribosomal RNA". It matches the Rfam family "Bacterial small subunit ribosomal RNA", at positions 523 to 796 of the family's 1533-position model. The record is from RNAcentral.
AUACAGAGGGUGCGAGCGUUAAUCGGAUUUACUGGGCGUAAAGCGUGCGUAGGUGGUUGGGUAAGUCAGAUGUGAAAGCCCCGGGCUUAACCUGGGAACUGCAUUUGAUACUGCCUAGCUAGAGUUUGGUAGAGGGAAGUGGAAUUCCAGGUGUAGCGGUGAAAUGCGUAGAUAUCUGGAGGAACACCAGUGGCGAAAGCGGCUUCCUGGACCGAAACUGACACUGAGGCACGAAAGCGUGGGGAGCAAACAGGAUUAGAUACCCGGGUAGUCC